RNAcentral lists this ribosomal RNA (594 nucleotides) under uncultured Tarzetta. RNAcentral describes it as "eukaryotic LSU rRNA". The stretch from base 212 to 365 matches the Rfam family "5.8S ribosomal RNA". Lineage: Eukaryota; Fungi; Ascomycota; Pezizomycetes; Pezizales; Pyronemataceae. The record is from RNAcentral.
AGAGGAAGUAAAAGUCGUAACAAGGUUUCCGUAGGUGAACCUGCGGAAGGRUCAUUAACGAAUUACAACGUUUGUUGAAACCCACUCUGCGUAUCUCUACAUGUUGCUUCCCCCCGCUGGGUUCUCUCCGGGCGGGGGGGAGGGAACCGCAAACUCCUGCAAUCGAAGCAAUCGGUCUGAAGAAAAACCUGUUUGUAUUCAAACGUUUUAAAACUUUCAACAACGGAUCUCUUGGUUCUCCCAUCGAUGARGAACGCAGCGAAAUGCGAUAAGUAGUGUGAAUUGCAGAAUUCAGUGAAUCAUCGAAUCUUUGAACGCACAUUGCGCCCUCCGGUAUUCCGGGGGGCAUGCCUGUUCGAGCGUCAUCAAAACCACUCAGGUUGGGGGCUUUUCAAAACCCCGGCUUGGUCUUGGGCACGAGGGAUCAGAACCCUCAGCCUGGAAUGCAGUGGCGGAUAUUCCGGCUUGGCAAGAGCGUGAUAAAAACGUCGUUCGCGAUUGGAGGCCGGAAUGCGCAGCCAUAAUAAACACCCAAACCAUGUCCCAAGUUUGACCUCGGAUCAGGUAGGGAUACCCGCUGAACUUAAGCAUAUC